CGCUUCCGAGGAGCGUUGCGACGGGUAAUCGCUGAAAUUUGCCCGCCAGGCUCGGAGCAUUCAAUCCGGACGGUUCGAAGGCAUAUCAAAUGCCCGCUGAGCCACCGCAUCGAACGGCGCUCACGUCAA
This 129-nucleotide non-coding RNA is filed under the name Caballeronia peredens. RNAcentral's name for it is "Burkholderia peredens SAH sequence". It matches the Rfam family "SAH (S-adenosyl-L-homocysteine) riboswitch aptamer". Lineage: Bacteria; Pseudomonadati; Pseudomonadota; Betaproteobacteria; Burkholderiales; Burkholderiaceae. The record is from RNAcentral.